This is a non-coding RNA of Camellia sinensis, 2029 nucleotides long. NCBI's taxonomy places the organism in Eukaryota, Viridiplantae, Streptophyta, Magnoliopsida, Ericales, Theaceae. The record is from RefSeq and is a predicted model, not a curated record.
UAACACUGCGAAACCGUUGCACACCAGAGCAAGCAAGCACAGCCUGGUCGGGUUGUAAGAGAGAGAAUCAAUGGCUGUUUUGUUUCAUCACUUUCUGCUACAAUUCGUCCACCAUUCCCAUCAUCAUCAUCAUCCAUUUUCUCCGCCAUUGCUGUCAAGCCCAAGCUUUCUCUUCUCUCUUUGCCCUCAACUUAUACGCCGCUAAAAGGCCUAAAACCCUCUCGAUCAUCUACUAUUAGGGUUUUUGCUGCACCUGAAGUUUUGGAUUCCCAAGAAACCCUAGAUGGUCCUGACUCUGCUACGACUGAGGUUGGAGGAUCGGUGGAUCCUGGUUCGUCGCCGCUCAGUAUUGGGGCCGAUGCUAAGAAGGAUGUUGUUUUGCUCAUUCUCAACAAGUUUGAAGCAAUUCAUGAAGGAAAACGCUUCAACAUUAUCGUAUUUGGACAGACUCAAUAUUGUUAUUAAUGAUGUGCAGUCAUUAGCUUCUAUAUUACGUAUAUUUGAUGAAAGCUCUGGCAGUUCUUGAAGCCUGUUGCAACCAUCCAAACGCAGGAACCCCAGAUUAGAAGGUUUAUUCAUGUUUGCAGCUCCAGCCACAACCUCCACUGCCAGCGUCGCUCUCUUGUCAACCCCAAUCUAGAGGCACUCUCUAGUCAACUCCACCGCGACCCCCACAAUCAACCACCCCCAGCAGCUUCGGACAAUCCCAAUCCAGAGCCACCACCGUGAGCCACCGUCGCAAGCCCUUCUUUCUCUCUCCCCACCAUCGCCCAGCCACUAUCGUCGGUCGCUGCUCAUCCCAACUCAAAUUGCGACGGUGACGGAAGCGACUAGGGUUUGAGGCCACAGAUCACGAUAGCAGCUAGGGUUUGAGGUCACAGAUCGCAACGGCAGCUAAGGUUGAGAUCUCAGAUCGCAAUGGCAAUGGAGGUGGCUAGGGUUUGAGGUCACAGCUUGCGACAGUGACGAAUAUGGACUGCAAUAUUUGGGAAUACUGGUGUGCAGAACCAACAAGCAGAUAGAAAGAAUAGAGUGCCAUGGUCAAGAUCUUUCAGUUAUGAGGAAGUAAGACCUUUUCUGAAUGUGACAUUCAUAGCAGGAGAGCAAUGGUUGAGACUAUUCUACUAUUUUCAUGUGUUUCACUUCUUUUAGAUGAUGUGAGAAUUGCUUUACAUUUAUGGCCAAAAAUAGUCCAUUUCUGGUACAAAAAAUUUGAGCAUCUCUUUGGAUUGCAGAUAGCCUCCAGACACAGGAUCAUUAUUGAUGGCUCGUGGAUGAAGGAUACUUCGCUUGCAGAGGGAGCUUGGGUAGCUUUGGAUGAAUUUGAUAAUCAGAUUGUGUCACACACUGCAGCCUUCUUCGCUUUAUCAGCAUCUACCACAGAAGCCAAGGCGUGUCUUGAUGCAGUUCGACAGUGUGUGGAUCAUAACGUCGAAACUGUUAACAUAUACACAGACUCUCAUGCACUUAUAAAUGAAUUAUCAUGUGGAUCAGCUAAAGCUUGGAUUGGCUGUCUAUUGUUAAGGACAUUAAGAUGUUAUGUAAUACGGUUGAGUAUAUUUGUACUACAAGAGUCGGGAACGACUAUAGUCCCGAAAAGCGGGUUUUGGGUACCAUACCUAAAAAAAAUUCAGCCGUUGGAUUGUGUUAUGCAAUCUAGUCCAUUCAAUGUAAACAGGUAAAAUAACAGGUAGCCGGUGAAAAGUAGUGAAACCUCCUCUCUCGUCAUUGUCAAGUCCAUCUCAUGAAUGAAUCUCACUCUUUUCUCUCUCUGCUCCUCUCCUUUCUUAUACUGCGUCGGUGCGUCUAGCGACGGUGUGCUUUUAGCCCGAAUCCCUUCCGUUGUAAACGAUUUGUCGAAAGAGAUCAUGAAUGUGAGGCUUCCGGCUAGGAUUUUCCGCUUAAUCUCGCUGGCGACCAAGAGGAUUUCUUUCUGCUCAUCAUUUUGGUUUCAACUGUCUUUCAUGAAUAGUUUUUUUUCAGUUGAUGAGAAAGUAGGAGAAAAUCAAUCUAUUCUAUUUUUUCUUAA